GCAACACUCUUACCCGGCUGUCAUAUUUGACUUUAGAACCAAACUUUUGCAAACAUUGUAAGCGUCGGGCGAAGCAUUUCGUCUUUUUGUUAAGUGGAAGUUUCUUAUAAUUUUCUCAUAAAGAAGCAGAAUAAAAAUAAGUUUUCGAUAGCUGCAUUAAGUGGAAACUUUGUACUAAAAUGAAUAAUAAAAGUUUUAAAAAUGCCAUAUCAUAAAUCUUUUCGCUGCUCUUCAUCCUCAAACAAACGAACAGCUUCAAUCUACACCCUUCCUGCGUCAAGGAGAGUUCGUACUAAGGUAAACAAGCCGAGCACUAACUUCACACACAGUACGUCCAAAUUUGACAGACUGCCCGAUAAAACUAGUAUAGUACCAACGGUUGGUUUGAUAUACUGGACACCUUAUGAUAUCUCAUCCUUUUUAGAUGUCCGAUAUAAUGUAAAGAAAUCGAAAAGGGCGUACAAAAUACGAAAAUCUGCUUUCAGAAUUCGUACUAAGUAUGAAGACAUUCCUACAGACUUACUUACCGAAAAAGACAAGGCCUCUAUCAAAUGGGCUGAGCAAAAUACUGAUUUCCGCUUUCCGAAUUCAUCUUUAUAUGACCCCAACAAAAGGCGUCAACCAUCAGAAGAGUCUUUAAUCAAUGACGAUCUUCAAGCAGACAAAGCAUCCAUUUUUUGAUUUGGACGAUCGUAGACUUUAGUAAACCCAAUGGUGCUAAAUCUCCUUAUAACUGGAGCAAUGUAGAAAUAGCUUUAAUGAAAUAAUUUAAAUAAGUGUUAGAGGAAAAUCCUGAUCCUUCACCUUAAUGUAGAGAUGCUGGUUGGUAUCAAAACCAAAUUAAAUUAAUAACUUGCUCUGAUCAACGUCCAACUGACCUUUAUAAAUUGGCUAAAGUUGCAACCCAAACGUUCCCACAAAAGAUUAGCAAGUGUUUGAGGUCAGUGAAGUCAACAAUCACCUACGACAAGUUGUUAUCCUUCUUAAUGCAAACAACAGCCAGGCACUAUGAACGUUAAGCGUCCGAUGAUUUAGGUUCCACAAAGUGCAGUACCCGAUUAUGACGUUAAUGAUAACACUCAAAGCACUACCUUAAGCACAAAGGCAGCGGAUGAGAGUCGGAAUAGUUUAAUCCUCACUAAAGGUGAUUUGGAAGGUGAUUUUCUAUCAGACCAGUAGGACCUAAAUUGAAUAUAAUUAAUAAACAUCUAUAUGGUGAAGCUAAUUUAGAUUAGUCUUCAUUAUAAACUGCACUAAUCCUUCGUCUAUCCCAACCCAAUAAUGAAGUAUGCCCAUUAAAUUUAUAAGGUUACAUGAACAUUCAGUCACAAAGUCUAAUCAUAUAAGUAAACACACAUCCAAAUCUACCUGAACUGUGUUAAGCUAUUCGAGCUACAACGAACACCCUUUGCAAUCCAAUGACGUCAUACAUAGCAAUGCAAAAUCUCAUCAUUAGGUCUGGGGCAGCUCGAACAUAUUAGUGUCGUGCAUUGUCACGAGAUAGAACUGAAGAGAAAUAUGUUGGGUGGAAACGCAAUAUUGAAGAGGGAAAAAUAUUGAAGAGCAAGGAAAAGGAUAUCGUAGCGCAGAAUUAAGAAUGCUAGUGAACACAAUAAAGCAAAAACAAAAAAUUAAAACCAAUUUAACA
Teleopsis dalmanni is the source of this 1648-nucleotide long non-coding RNA. RefSeq lists it as uncharacterized. The record is from RefSeq and is a predicted model, not a curated record. NCBI's taxonomy places the organism in Eukaryota, Metazoa, Arthropoda, Insecta, Diptera, Diopsidae. The transcript is spliced from 4 exons.